Molecule: non-coding RNA, 219 nt
Filed under: Candidatus Hodgkinia cicadicola Dsem
Lineage: Bacteria; Pseudomonadati; Pseudomonadota; Alphaproteobacteria; Hyphomicrobiales
Source: RNAcentral
GGGGGCGACAAGCAGAGGUAGACGGCUGCCAGCAAAAGCUGAACACGCUUGCCCGCGACCUGCGCGUCAACAGGAAUAAGUGCAAACACGACAUCACAAGCUAGCGACGAAAGCAAGCUAGUCCCAAGUAGGGCAGCAAGCUUAUAGCAAAAGCCAAGCCAGCGCGUGCUGGCUAGCUGGAGCGGGGCCAGGGGGCGCCCGACAACACAAGCCCCCAGC